RNAcentral lists this ribosomal RNA (465 nucleotides) under uncultured bacterium. RNAcentral describes it as "bacterial SSU rRNA". It matches the Rfam family "Bacterial small subunit ribosomal RNA", at positions 338 to 795 of the family's 1533-position model. The record is from RNAcentral.
CCUACGGGUGGCAGCAGUGGGGAAUUUUGGACAAUGGGCGAAAGCCUGAUCCAGCAAUGCCGCGUGCAGGAUGAAGGCCCUCGGGUUGUAAACUGCUUUUGUACGGAACGAAAAGACUCUCUCUAAUAAAGAGGGCCCAUGACGGUACCGUAAGAAUAAGCACCGGCUAACUACGUGCCAGCAGCCGCGGUAAUACGUAGGGUGCGAGCGUUAAUCGGAAUUACUGGGCGUAAAGCGUGCGCAGGCGGUUAUGUAAGACAGAGGUGAAAUCCCCGGGCUCAACCUGGGAACGGCCUUUGUGACUGCAUGGCUAGAGUGCGGCAGAGGGGGAUGGAAUUCCGCGUGUAGCAGUGAAAUGCGUAGAUAUGCGGAGGAACACCGAUGGCGAAGGCAAUCCCCUGGGCCUGCACUGACGCUCAUGCACGAAAGCGUGGGGAGCAAACAGGAUUAGAUACCCUUGUAGUC